Non-coding RNA from Cordylochernes scorpioides, 148 nucleotides. The record is from the annotation of a GenBank genome assembly. Lineage: Eukaryota; Metazoa; Arthropoda; Arachnida; Pseudoscorpiones; Chernetidae.
ACAGCCAUACCACAUUGAAAACACCAGUUCUCGUCCGAUCACCGAAGUUAAGCAAUGUCGGGCCCGGUCAGUACUUGGGAGGGUGACCACCUGGAGGGUUGCUAAAUUGCAAAAAUGGCAAUUUUGCAAAUGAAAACUGUCCUUUGUA